RNAcentral lists this ribosomal RNA (1483 nucleotides) under uncultured bacterium. RNAcentral's name for it is "16S ribosomal RNA". It matches the Rfam family "Bacterial small subunit ribosomal RNA". The record is from RNAcentral.
AGAGUUUGAUCCUGGCUCAGGAUGAACGCUAGCGGCAGGCUUAACACAUGCAAGUCGAGGGGCAGCACGGGUAGCAAUACCUGGUGGCGACCGGCGCAAGGGGGCGUAACGCGUAUGUAAUCUACCAUUAACCGGGGAAUAGCCCAGAGAAAUCUGGAUUAAUAUCUCAUAGUUCUAUUAGAUCGCAUGAUUUGAUAGAUAAAGCUCCGGCGGUUACAGAUGGGCAUGCGUGACAUUAGCUAGUUGGUAAGGUAACGGCUUACCAUGGCUACGAUGUCUAGGGGUUCUGAGAGGAAGGUCCCCCACACUGGAACUGAGACACGGUCCAGACUCCUACGGGAGGCAGCAGUGAGGAAUAUUGGACAAUGGAUGGAAAUCUGAUCCAGCCAUGCCGCGUGAAGGAAGAAUGUCCUAUGGAUUGUAAACUUCUUUUGUAUGGGAGCAAUAAGGUCUUCGUGAAGACUGAUGAGAGUACCAUACGAAUAAGCAUCGGCUAACUCCGUGCCAGCAGCCGCGGUAAUACGGAGGAUGCGAGCGUUAUCCGGAUUUAUUGGGUUUAAAGGGUGCGUAGGCUGUUAUAUAAGUCAGUGGUGAAAGCCUGCAGCUUAACUGCAGAACUGCCAUUGAUACUGCCAGUCUGGAGUAUGGUUGAGGUAGCUGGAAUGUGUCAUGUAGCGGUGAAAUGCUUAGAGAUCACACAGAAUAUCGAUUGCGAAGGCAGCUCACAAAGCCAUUAUUGACGCUGAGGCACGAAAGUGUGGGGAUCAAACAGGAUUAGAUACCCUGGUAGUCCACACUGUAAACGAUGAUAACUAGCUGUCGGCGAUACACAGUCGGUGGCCAAGCGAAAGCGAUAAGUUAUCCACCUGGGGAGUACGACCGCAAGGUUGAAACUCAAAGGAAUUGACGGGGGCCCGCACAAGCGGAGGAACAUGUGGUUUAAUUCGAUGAUACGCGAGGAACCUUACCUGGGCUUAAAUGUAGAGCGACAGAUUGUGAAAGCAGUCCUUCUUCGGACGAUCUACAAGGUGCUGCAUGGUUGUCGUCAGCUCGUGCCGUGAGGUGUCGGCUUAAGUGCCAUAACGAGCGCAACCCUUGUCGUUAGUUGCCAUCAAGUAAUGUUGGGGACUCUAGCGAGACUGCCACCGUAAGGUGUGAGGAAGGGGGGGAUGACGUCAAAUCAGCACGGCCCUUACGUCCGGGGCGACACACGUGUUACAAUGGUAGGUACAGAGGGGCGCUAUCCAGCGAUGGAGUGCGAAUCUCAAAAACCUAUCUCAGUUCGGAUCGGAGUCUGCAACUCGACUCCGUGAAGUUGGAUUCGCUAGUAAUCGCGCAUCAGCCAUGGCGCGGUGAAUACGUUCCCGGGCCUUGUACACACCGCCCGUCAAGCCAUGGAAGCUGGGGGUGCCUGAAGUUCGUGACCGCAAGGAGCGACCUAGGGCAAAACUAGUAACUGGGGCUAAGUCGUAACAAGGUAACC